ACUAACAGAAGACUGGUGAAUUAACAUUGGCAUGGAUUCUUCAAAUUAAUGAUGGAGGACAUGUUGCAAUUCUAUUAUUAUCUGAUGCAAAGGACUAUUCAUGGUCAUGACUAAUCAUUAAAUGGCUGUAAACUUUUGAGAAAACACUUCCAAAUACUGUGACAGCAUAUCGGCUGCAGUUGUUAAGGCUGGCAUUAUUGGCAUUAGAUCACUGAAGAGGAAAUAAAGUGUGCAAGAAUACUCUCUUGUCACCAGAUUACUGAGGUGUACUGGAGACUCAGCUAGCAAAAAAGAGAAGCAGCUGAACAUCAAAAGAGAAGCAGCAGCUAGGCAUCAGAGACUAUGGUUGGACGUUGGAGAGAAGCAGCUUGAUUUCAGAGAGACAGUUUGACAGUGCAACUUUGGAGAAGAGUCCAGCCAGAAACCUUCCUGCUACAUGUCCUUCCCAGCUGCC
Molecule: long non-coding RNA, 454 nt
Organism: Homo sapiens (human)
Lineage: Eukaryota; Metazoa; Chordata; Mammalia; Primates; Hominidae
Exons: 3
Source: RefSeq, a predicted model, not a curated record